UGGGGAAUAUUGCACAAUGGGCGCAAGCCUGAUGCAGCAACGCCGCGUGAACGAUGAAGGUCUUCGGAUCGUAAAGUUCUGUUUCAGGGGAAGAAAAUGACGGUACCCUGUGAGGAAGCCCCGGCUAACUACGUGCCAGCAGCCGCGGUAAUACGUAGGGGGCGAGCGUUGUCCGGAAUUAUUGGGCGUAAAGGGUACGUAGGCGGUCUAUUAAGUCAGGUGUGAAAGCGUGAGGCUUAACCUCAUUAAGCACUUGAAACUGAUAGACUUGAGUGAAGGAGAGGAAAGUGGAAUUCCUAGUGUAGCGGUGAAAUGCGUAGAUAUUAGGAGGAAUACCGGUGGCGAAGGCGACUUUCUGGACUUUUACUGACGCUCAGGUACGAAAGCGUGGGGAGCAAACAGG
Molecule: ribosomal RNA, 403 nt
Filed under: Verrucomicrobiota bacterium
Lineage: Bacteria; Pseudomonadati; Verrucomicrobiota
Description: Verrucomicrobia bacterium partial 16S ribosomal RNA
Rfam family: Bacterial small subunit ribosomal RNA
Source: RNAcentral